Molecule: ribosomal RNA, 484 nt
Filed under: uncultured bacterium
Lineage: Bacteria
Description: SSU rRNA
Rfam family: Bacterial small subunit ribosomal RNA
Source: RNAcentral
AGGACGAACGCUGGCGGCGUGCCUAACACAUGCAAGUCGAACGAGGUCCAACCGGUAGCAAUACCGGUGAAGACCAAGUGGCGAACGGGUGAGUAGCACGUGAGCAACCUGCCCCGAAGACCGGGACAACACCGGGAAACCGGUGCUAAUACCGGAUAUCCCCACCGAGUCGCAUGGCUUGGUGAGGAAAUGGAUUCCGCUUCGGGAGGGGCUCGCGGCCUAUCAGCUUGUUGGUGAGGUAACGGCUCACCAAGGCUUCGACGGGUAGCUGGUCUGAGAGGACGAUCAGCCACACUGGGACUGAGACACGGCCCAGACUCCUACGGGAGGCAGCAGUGGGGAAUCUUGCACAAUGGGCGAAAGCCUGAUGCAGCAACGCCGCGUGAGGGACGAAGGCUUUCUGAGUUGUAAACCUCUUUCAGCAGGGACGAUUGUGACGGUACCUGCAGAAGAAGCCCGGCAACUACGUGCCAGCAGCCGCGGU